Long non-coding RNA from Solanum verrucosum, 321 nucleotides. RefSeq lists it as uncharacterized. NCBI's taxonomy places the organism in Eukaryota, Viridiplantae, Streptophyta, Magnoliopsida, Solanales, Solanaceae. The transcript is spliced from 2 exons. The record is from RefSeq and is a predicted model, not a curated record.
UGAAAAUCUGAUUACUAAGCACAAAACCUAUUCCGGCAACUCCAGUGGCAUUGAAAGAAUCUUGGCUAGAAGGAAAAACUUGCAGAUGUAUUACAAGGUAGUUGUCAUCUGAAUCUAUUGUUGGGUUAUGGAGGGAAACUGAUUCCACGGGCAGUUGACUAUUUUGGAAGGAUUGCAUCAAGGACUUUUGGAGAAUCUCAUAAGUAGUUCUAUUUCCCAAGUUCGAAAAGGAAGGAGCUCUGAAGACUAUGUUGCCUGUAUAUGGAAAAGCACAUUUACAGGUAGGACUAGAAACUCGAUUAGAGCUGCAGUCUGUUGGCA